GAUGAACGCUGGCGGCGUGCUUAACACAUGCAAGUCGAACGGAAAGGCUCCUGCUUGCAGGGGUACUCGAGUGGCGAACGGGUGAGUAACACGUGGGUGAUCUGCCCUGCACUUCGGGAUAAGCCUGGGAAACUGGGUCUAAUACCGGAUAGGACGAUGGUUUGGAUGCCAUUGUGGAAAGUUUUUCGGUGUGGGAUGAGCUCGCGGCCUAUCAGCUUGUUGGUGGGGUAAUGGCCUACCAAGGCGUCGACGGGUAGCCGGCCUGAGAGGGUGUACGGCCACAUUGGGACUGAGAUACGGCCCAGACUCCUACGGGAGGCAGCAGUGGGGAAUAUUGCACAUUGGGCGCAAGCCUGAUGCAGCGACGCCGCGUGGGGGAUGACGGCCUUCGGGUUGUAAACUCCUUUCGCUAGGGACGAAGCGCAAGUGACGGUACCUGGAGAAGAAGCACCGGCUAACUACGUG
This 465-nucleotide ribosomal RNA is filed under the name uncultured bacterium. Its description in RNAcentral is "partial 16S ribosomal RNA". It matches the Rfam family "Bacterial small subunit ribosomal RNA", at positions 28 to 507 of the family's 1533-position model. The record is from RNAcentral.